Non-coding RNA from Vicugna pacos (alpaca), 2688 nucleotides. Lineage: Eukaryota; Metazoa; Chordata; Mammalia; Artiodactyla; Camelidae. The record is from RefSeq and is a predicted model, not a curated record.
GCGGGACUGGAGCGGGCGGGACCAAGGAGGCCAGAGGCGGGCGAAGGGCGCGAGUCUUCAGUUCAACAAACGUCAUCAAACACCUACUGUGUGCUACUCAGGCUCUGGGGAUGCAAAAUUGAGUGAGACAGUCUGAACACCAAGGGAUCCUUGAAAUGGACAUGUGAACCAAUGGAGGACAACGAAAAACAAGCUGCUUGAGCACCCAGCGGUGUCCAGAUGCCACAGAAUCACUUUUUGCAUCAUCAGAACUGACAUCCAGGAAGCCUGUGCUAAGUACGGUACACACACAGCUGGGACUGAUCCUACGAUGUGACACUAGCACUAUCCCGUUUGCAGGUGAGAAAUGUCUGCAUGGUGGGAGCCUCACGCUGCUGCAGUCCGCACCUGGGCACCUGUCCUGUAGAGGACUUAAAAAUGUUGGUUCCAGCACAUGCGCACUCAGCUGUAUGUUCCUUUGGAUCAGAAGCAGAGAUCUUGCUUCAGGCGUGGUGUGGUCCAGCUCCUGGGGCGCUGGGCCCUCCUGCAUCCAGUCCUGCCCUGCUCUCCUACCCCUAACCUGGGAAGCUCACAUCUGUUCACUUCAUGUUCCAGAGCCACCGUUUCUAGCUGUAGACACCUGGUGAGUGGCUUCAAGUCUGUUGUGAACUUUGAAAAAUGGAGGAAAUGACGCCGUGCACGGUGGCCGUGAAUGUCAGCUGAGGCUGUGUGUGCUUCCCUAGCGUGGUCUGACCCAGUGUGUCCUCAGUGCCACCCCAGGUCUCCUCGUCCUGUGCGUGCAGAUUAACUGGGAGGGAUGGUGUCACUUUCGACGGAAUAUAUUGACGAUGAGCAAAUUAUCAGUUUAUAGUAAAAAUCAACAGUGUAAAUAUCUCUAUAACUUUAAAUGUUUAUAUCUAAGCAGUUACCUUCCAUCUCCCUGACAGGUCAUUGAUGUCCAAAGGUCGUAUUGUCAUGUAGGAAGAGUGAAAUUGAAACCGUCCAGAAGUAGCCAGUGACCUUGCUUGAACUAAAUGCAUAAGAUUUUCACAUUCAUUACAGGCUUGCGCAUUUAUUUCACCCCCACGUUUCUGACCCCGGCUGAUAGAUAAUAAUAAUAGAAACCCUGCCGGCUGUAAGUGGAGGGGAGAGAAAAAAACCUGUUAAAGUCAGCCCAUUCGUUCUUCAUCGCAUAGACAGUUCCGUAAAUUCAUUUUACAUUCAAGGACUCGUCGGUAAGUCUCCUUCUGUCACUUUACUAGUCACGCUAGGCGCUGUGACUUGGAGGGGUAAGAAUGACUUUGACGUCCGAGCGCUGUCACCCACUGGCCUGGCUGGACUUCAAGCCAUAGUCAAAGAUUUUCCCAGAGUAACUGAAGACCUUCACAGAUUUGCUGAGGAGUUUCAUGCAGUCAUUCACAUUUAUCAACAUGGUUUCUCUGACUCAUAUCAGCUAGUUCAUAUGCUCGUUGGCGAAGGCCAGGCCCAGCACUGGAUGAAACACGAAAUGGGAAAUGGCAGAAGGUCUCUAGAAUUAGACCAACCCACUAACCUGUUAUAAGAUCAGGCUCAGGUUCCUGGGGCUUUUCCAAAGUCUGUUGAUCGGUACAAGAAUCAGACUUGCACACAAAGAUCUGAUCAAUCUGUUCAUGACUAUUAGGAUCAACUUCAGAUUGUUUCUUCAAAAAAUUCUGGUCUUCAGAUACCGAUUCCCACCCGGAUAGCUUUUACCUGUGUUUAUCAGUGGGCUGAGCUGGCACCUUUCCCUCCUAGUAAAAAGUGCCAGGAUGCAAUGGGGAACUAGGUCCACUCAGAUUUAGCUAAUGCAGCACACCAGCCCUCUGGCACCUUGGAGAGGAGUCACCUCCAGGGAAGCCCGCCAGCGUCCUUAACCUUCAACCUCAGCAAGUGGAGGCUCCUAAACAAAAUGAGUCCUCCUCGUUCCUGCUGUUACUGCGAAGACCAGAUCAUUCGGAAGGAAACGGUUACACAUUCAAGCACUUCACCUGCCCCCAGUCGUUCUGACAUCCUCCCAGUUCUCACUGGUGGAGCUUCAAGGAACCGUGGGGCUCUUCCCAGUCCUCCCUCCUGAGCAGCUUGGAGAAGCCCUGCUCCAGAUGGAGGAUGGGUCUCUUCCAGUCGCCAGGGACACCAGACCCACACUGUCAGGGCUCAGCCUCACUAUAAACAGCCCCUUCCUCGGAGUGCUGAAGCAGUUCAGGUAGUUGUGGGGGGGGGGUCUAAUGAACCUCAAGAGGUUCCUGUCUCUGGACCUGUCCCCUUUUGUUUAGACCCUUUGAGAGACACACAUCCUGUCAACCUCGUUCCUCCAACUCCACCCAUUUAUUGGGAGAGACUUCAGAGAGAAGUAUCAUGCCAGAACUUACUUCUCCCAAAGGUGGAAGUAAUUCUAGGUUAUCAAAGUAACCAGCCAGGUGAAUUAACUGACCCCUCAACAUCUUUUACUUGUUCCAUCUCUGAUGAUUCUAGAGCUGCUUCUAGAAAAUCUAGGAUCAUGUGUCCCUAUUGAAUCAGUUACCACCCUUCUUAUGGGCAGAAUCUCCAACUGAUGCUGGCAAAAUUCACAGCACACCUGCCAUCAAAAUUCAAAUACAUGCCUCAAAAACCUCUUCCCAGAAGUACUCAAUACCCUCUAAGUAAGAAGUCCUUCCAGGCAUAAAGCCCAAAGCUCAAGACCCCCCUCUCUUG